CCGCCAGAGAACUACUAGUGAAAAACUUGAAACUCAAAGGACUUGGCGGUGUCCCAUUUCGACCUAGAGGAGCCUGUCCUAUAAUCGACACUACCCGAUCCACCUAACCUAGACUCGCACAUUCAGCCUAUAUACCGCCGUCGACAGUCUACCCCAUGAGGGGCCCUUAGUAGACACAAUAGCAACAGCUCGCUAGUACGUCAGGUCAAGGUGNAGCAAAUGCCUAGGCAGUGAUUGGCUACAUUUUUUACUUUAGAACAAACGAAAUGCAAUAUGAAACGCUGCAUGAAGGUGAAUUUAGUAGUAAAAU
This 310-nucleotide ribosomal RNA is filed under the name Acanthodactylus gongrorhynchatus. RNAcentral's name for it is "partial 12S ribosomal RNA". It matches the Rfam family "Bacterial small subunit ribosomal RNA", at positions 869 to 1344 of the family's 1533-position model. Lineage: Eukaryota; Metazoa; Chordata; Lepidosauria; Squamata; Lacertidae. The record is from RNAcentral.